AGCCCUAAAUCUUGAUGUUUCCCAAACACAAACAUCCGCCCGAGAACUACGAGCACAAACGCUUAAAACUCUAAGGACUUGGCGGUGCCCUAAACCCACCUAGAGGAGCCUGUUCUGUAAUCGAUAACCCACGAUCCACCCGACCACUUCUUGCCAAAACAGCCUACAUACCGCCGUCCCCAGCCCACCUCCGUGAGAGCACAACAGUGAGCCCAACAGCCCCUACCCCGCUAAUAAGACAGGUCAAGGUAUAGCCCAUGAAGUGGAAGAAAUGGGCUACAUUUUCUAAAAUAGAACACCCAACGAAAAGGGGCCUGAAACCUGCCCCAAGAAGGCGGAUUUAGCAGUAAAGCGGGAUAAUCAAGCCCCCUUUAAGCCGGUCCUAGGGCA
Molecule: ribosomal RNA, 390 nt
Filed under: Amazona lilacina
Lineage: Eukaryota; Metazoa; Chordata; Aves; Psittaciformes; Psittacidae
Description: Amazona autumnalis lilacine partial 12S ribosomal RNA
Rfam family: Bacterial small subunit ribosomal RNA
Source: RNAcentral